RNAcentral lists this ribosomal RNA (253 nucleotides) under uncultured bacterium. Its description in RNAcentral is "partial 16S ribosomal RNA". It matches the Rfam family "Bacterial small subunit ribosomal RNA", at positions 524 to 776 of the family's 1533-position model. The record is from RNAcentral.
GACAGAGGGUGCAAACGUUGUUCGGAAUUACUGGGCGUAAAGCGCGUGUAGGCUGCUCCGCAAGUCGGGUGUGAAAGCCCUGGGCUCAACCUAGGAAGUGCACUCGAAACUGCAGAGCUGGAGUCCUGGAGAGGAAGGCGGAAUUCUCGGUGUAGAGGUGAAAUUCGUAGAUAUCGAGAGGAACACCGGUGGCGAAGGCGGCCUUCUGGACAGUGACUGACGCUGAGACGCGAAAGCGUGGGGAGCAAACAGG